ACAGCAGUAGCGGUAAUACAGAGGGUGCGAGCGUUAAUCGGAUUUACUGGGCGUAAAGCGUGCGUAGGCGGCUUCUUAAGUCGGAUGUGAAAUCCCUGAGCUUAACUUAGGAAUUGCAUUCGAUACUGGGAAGCUAGAGUAUGGGAGAGGAUGGUAGAAUUCCAGGUGUAGCGGUGAAAUGCGUAGAGAUCUGGAGGAAUACCGAUGGCGAAGGCAGCCAUCUGGCCUAAUACUGACGCUGAGGUACGAAAGCAUGGGGAGCAAACAGGAUUAGAUACCCCUGUAGUCCCUGUCUCUUAUACACA
RNAcentral lists this ribosomal RNA (305 nucleotides) under uncultured bacterium. RNAcentral's name for it is "partial 16S ribosomal RNA". It matches the Rfam family "Bacterial small subunit ribosomal RNA", at positions 508 to 810 of the family's 1533-position model. The record is from RNAcentral.